Regulatory RNA element from Microlunatus soli, 89 nucleotides. It matches the Rfam family "Actino-pnp RNA". NCBI's taxonomy places the organism in Bacteria, Bacillati, Actinomycetota, Actinomycetes, Propionibacteriales, Propionibacteriaceae. The record is from Rfam.
CUCGGUCCUCGGUAGUGGUUUUCGGGACGACCGGCUUGACCCCAAAGGCAAGAUCCGGUCGGACCCGCGGACCUCGAUCGAAGACCGGU